CCUACGGGUGGCUGCAGUGAGGAAUAUUGGUCAAUGGCCGUAAUGCUGAACCAGCCAUGUCGCGUGAGGGACGACUGCCCUAUGAGUUGUAAACCUCUUUUGUACGGGGGUAAAGUGGUCUACGUGUAGGGGUUUGCAAGUACGGCAUGAAUAAGGACCGGCUAAUUCCGUGCCAGCAGCCGCGGUAAUACGGAAGAUCCGGGCGUUAUCCGGAUUUAUUGGGUUUAAAGGGAGCGUAGGCUGGUCUUUAAGCGUGCCGUGAAAUUUUGUGGCUCAACCAUGGGAGUGCGGCUAGUACUGGAGACCUUGAGAGCGCAGACGGCAGGCGGAAUGUGUGGUGUAGCGGUGAAAUGCAUAGAUAUUACGCAGAACCCCGAUUGCGAAGGCAGCCUGCUGCAGCGUUACUGACGCUGAAGCUCGAAAGCGCGGGUAUCGAACAGGAUUAGAUACCCCUGUAGUC
Molecule: ribosomal RNA, 460 nt
Filed under: uncultured bacterium
Lineage: Bacteria
Description: partial 16S ribosomal RNA
Rfam family: Bacterial small subunit ribosomal RNA
Source: RNAcentral